RNAcentral lists this ribosomal RNA (253 nucleotides) under uncultured bacterium. RNAcentral describes it as "partial 16S ribosomal RNA". It matches the Rfam family "Bacterial small subunit ribosomal RNA", at positions 524 to 776 of the family's 1533-position model. The record is from RNAcentral.
UACAGAGGGUGCAAGCGUUAAUCGGAAUUACUGGGCGUAAAGCGUGCGUAGACGGUUAUUUAAGUCGGGUGUGAAAGCCCCGGGCUCAACCUGGGAAUUGCAUUCGAGACUGAAUAGCUAGGGUGCGGAAGAGGGAAGCGGAAUUUCCGGUGUAGCGGUGAAAUGCGUAGAUAUCGGAAGGAACACCAGUGGCGAAAGCGGCUUCCUGGUCCAGCACCGACGCUCAGGCGCGACAGCGUGGGGAGCAAACAGG